This 160-nucleotide ribosomal RNA is filed under the name Symbiochloris sp. SAG 2069. Its description in RNAcentral is "5.8S ribosomal RNA". It matches the Rfam family "5.8S ribosomal RNA". From Rfam's summary of the family: 5.8S ribosomal RNA (5.8S rRNA) is a component of the large subunit of the eukaryotic ribosome. It is transcribed by RNA polymerase I as part of the 45S precursor that also contains 18S and 28S rRNA. Lineage: Eukaryota; Viridiplantae; Chlorophyta; Trebouxiophyceae; Trebouxiales; Trebouxiaceae. The record is from RNAcentral.
AAGACAACUCUCAACAACGGAUAUCUUGGCUCCCGUAACGAUGAAGAACGCAGCGAAAUGCGAUACGUAGUGUGAAUUGCAGAAUUCCGUGAAUCAUCGAGUCUUUGAACGCAAAUUGCGCCUGCGGCCUCGUGCUCAAGGGCAUGUCUGCCUCAGCGUC